This 32679-nucleotide long non-coding RNA is filed under the name Malus domestica (apple). RNAcentral's name for it is "long non-coding RNA (MDOM_LNC001438)". The record is from RNAcentral. Lineage: Eukaryota; Viridiplantae; Streptophyta; Magnoliopsida; Rosales; Rosaceae.
CGUAAAUAUACAAGAGUUUUUUUUUUAGAAAAUAUAGAGAAGGUAGAGAAGUUAUGGAGAAAUGUGAAAGAGAGAAAUGGAAACAAGUUUAAAAAUUUAGAUAUAUGUUAGGUUAAUGUGGGUGGGUGAAGGAAAAAUUUCGUUUAUACAAAAUUACGUUACUGUUAUGAUUUUAUUUUGUGAUAAAAAAUUACAUUAUUUUUUUUUGGGGGGGGAGAGAUUUUGUUAACAUGUAAUUUAUAUAAGACUAUAUAUUUUUUAAGAGAGACUAAGUUUUUUAUUUAUCUGAGAGAGAGAUUAAACUUAUUCACGUGAUAUGCGAUGUCAUGAUUAUUUUUUAAUUGCUUUUUCGUUAACAAUUUUACUCUAAAUCUCUAUAUUCUUAUUUAUACGUUUUAGUUUUAUGUCCUUUUUUUUCUUCUUGGUCCAUUUCUAUCUCUCUUCCUUCUCCAUUCUACCCAUGUCUCUCUUUCUCUCUCUCCACCUUCUUCUUUGUAUUUUUCUUUCUCUUCUCUCUUCGUACUUCUCUCUAUUCCUCUUCCUACAUCAUUAUCUCUACUAGUAUUGAAAAUUUCGAAACUGAUCUUUUCAAAGUGUUGGAAUUUUAAAUUUGAUCUUAUAGAAAUUUUGAAACUGAUCUAAUAGAAGUGCAAAUAAAAUUUGAAAGUAAUCUUGCAAAAGUGAAUGAAUUGUGAAACUGAUCGUUCAGAAAUAAGAAAUUAAUUUUUACGGAUCUAAAAUCAGUUUGAAGUUUUUAUAGAUGGUGUCACUUUAUAGUUUUGGCCUGGUUAACUAACAAGUCUAUUAUGCACAAAACCGGAGGUCUUGGAACAACGUAAAUCUGACCAUGAAUCUGCAAGAAAGUAAAGAACACAAAAUGUAUCGUGGUUCACCCCAAUGUUUGGGCUACGUCCACACUGAUAUUGUAUUUCUCUGUUUGUGAGAGGAUUGUGAGGGAGAGAGAGCUUCUGUUUAGGGGAUGUAAGGCUCUCAAUAUGAGGGUGAGGAAGCCCUUUUAUAGACUAAGGGCUCCUCCCCUUUUUACAUAUUUGCCCCUUCAUUUAUUACACAAUUACAUUUGAGUCCCUCGAGUAUUUAUACGAGGUCUAAAUACGAAGGCCCUAAGUAUGGUAUAAAUAGUAGUCCCUCAAGUCUUCAGUCAAAAGAGUCUUUUGGCUGGAGACUUGAAAUUCAGUCCAUGUGUGAGCCGAAGUAACUAGAUGUCAUCUAGAACUGAUACUCGAUAUGAGGCGAUGCCCAAUCUGAAAUGAUGCUCAACCAGAAGUAGCACAUGUUGCGAAGCUGCUCUGCUUGUGGCUUAUGUUGCCUUGGUUGGUUCGGCUUGUGGUGUUAAAGGUGAGGGAGUCCCUUUUAUAGACUAAGGGCUUACUCCUCAAUACAUAAAUGAUGGGCUAGAGUUGAUGCUCGCGGCGAGGCGGUUACUCAGCAGGCGGCGAUGCUCUCUAAUGAUGGUGAGGGAGUCCCUUUUAUAAAAUAAGGGCUCGCUCCUCAAUACAUGAAUAAUGGGCUGGCGUUGAUGCUCGCGGCGAGGCGAUUGCUCAGCAGGCGGCGAUGCUCUCAAAUGAUGGUGACAGAGUCCCUUUUAUAAAAUAAGGGCUCGCUCCUCAGUAUAUGAAUAAUGGGCUAGAGUUGAUGCUCGCGGCGAGGCGGUUGCUCAGCAGGCAGCGAUGCUCUCUAAUGAUGGUGAAGAAGUCCCUUUUUAUAAAAUAAGGGCUCACUCCUCAGUACAUGAAUAAUGGGUGCUCUCUAAUGAAAGUAAGGGAGUCCCUUUUAUAAAAUAAGGGUUCGCUCCUCAAUACAUGAAUAAUGGAUGCUCUCUAAUGAAAGUGAGGGAGUCCCUUUUAUAAAAUAAGGGCUCACUCCUCAAUACAUGAAUAAUGGGUUAAGUCCCUCGAGUAUUUUUCAUAAGGCCCAGUUGUGGAAGCCCAAUAUGUGGUAGAUAGUGUAUUCCCUUAAGUCUUCAGUCAAGAGAGACUGUUGGCUGGAGACUUCAAAUUCAAUCCAUGUAUGGGCCGAAGUGGCAGUUGUUCGGAGGUGGUCUUUAUAGACCAUGCACUGAAGCUUUGUAGGUGAAACUUUUAAAGUGAAGCUUUGAAGCUGGAACUCUGUAAAUGAAGCUUUCGAAGCUGAUUAACAUGAGUGAUGCUCAUGAAUGUUUACGUUGAUUGACAUGAGUGAUGCUCAUGGAUGUUAACAUGAGUGAUGCUCAUGAAUGUUGACAUGAACGAUGGUCAUGAAUGUUUAUGUAUGAUUGACAUAAGUGAUACUCAUGAAUGUUUAUGUAUGAUUGACAUGAGUGAUGCUCAUGUAUAUUUUUUGAAGUAUUGGACGUACUUUUGAUCACCUGGUUAGUGAUAAUAGCGGCAAGCUGCCGAAUAAUUUUGAGGUACUGGACGUACUUCUGAUCACCUGAUUUGUGAUAAUAGCGGCAGGGUGCCGAAUAAAUUUGGAGUACUCGAUGUACUUUUGAUUACCCGGUUGGUGAUAAUAGUGGCAGGGUGUCAAAUAAAUUUGUAGCCAUAGGGUCUGGCUCUUUUGGGCAUAUGGGUCUUGGCCCUCCACAUAACAUUCCAGCCCAUUAUUUUGGGCUUGCUGUUUUUUUUUUUUUUUUACCUUCUGAUAGGGUUAUACAGAUGUCUCCGAAAGAUAAGAAAAAUAACUCACAUCAUUCAAAAAUAAAUCUGACCCUCUGCUCAAUGGGUCACACUCAUAACUCCCUUUUCUGCAUGUCAUUACCACCGCAAUUAUGUCUGCUUCUUUUUAUCUUAUGUUGCUUUCUACUUUUUGUUUCUGCUUUUCUCCAGACAUCAUUUUUCUUUUUCUUACUUUUGCUUUUCUGCUUUUUCUUUUCCACCGCACCUCUUUCUCUGUCUCUGUCUUUGCGCUGCUGUCAUGCAUGUGCUCAGUCAAAUCCCAAUCUCUUAGAUUUUAUUCUCUUCUCUCUUUUUGCUUUCUUCUUUGCAGAUGGCAGACAAAAGUAAAGUUCUUUUCUUUACUUUGCUUUACUUUGCAGAUUGCAGAUGCACUGCCGAACCAAACAGCCGGAGAUCUGGUCGUGGAAACCGUGAAACAAGAACCUGGCAAACGUGUUAGCAACCUCUUUGGAUGCCUCGGUCCUCCUCAACUCGAUCAGUCUCAUACCCACCCAUGCAGUCGACUCAGCUGCUCAACACUCAGUGAUGGUGGCGUCAGAGUGAUUUCGUCCAGCAACUGAGAUCUGCAUAUUAUCUUUCAAGACAUCGAGAUGCGUGAUUACGAGAUGGGUAGCGCCAGCACUGAGCAUUCCCCCAACAGUGCAGAGCCCAUAAUAUGCAAGUGAAAAUAGCAUUCCCCCAACAGUGCAGAGCUCAUUAAUUUCAUCAAAUUGCAGUUGAAAAGGUAACAAAAAGCCUUCACCUUGUCCUAGAGUGAACUUGAAUGGAGUCCCCCCGUCGCGACUCGAAUCGAACUGAGUCCCGUCCAGCAAUGUCCCAGUAUAAUGAACUUCAACUUCAUUGCCAUUAUUGGAAGUGUCCCAGCCUUCCCCUUCCUUUAGGAGCUUCUUCUUCAAUCCUUGGUGGCCGAUCUCCUUCUCCUCACCGACCUUCAGGACUGGCCCCUCGUCGGGGAAAUCAAAGUCCUCGUUCAUAUCCUCCGCCCCUAGCAUAUCGAAGUCCUCGUCCAUUUUCUCGAAAGCGCGAGAUGAAAAAUUCAACGAUUUGAAAGCGUAUUACAAGAUUCUGAGAUUGAAGAAAAUUAGGGAAAAGUGAGAGUGAGGGAGACGAGGCUUUUAUGGUGUUAUUUUUUAGAGUUCUAGAGGCUUCUACAAGGUUGUUGGGCUGCAGCGCGAGGUUUUACUUACAUGCUCCCUUGCCCAAAGGGUGCUUAUUGUCCACUUGCAAAACUCAAUAACGAAUCUGGGAUAUGUGAGCCGUAAGGUCAUAUUCAAGGCCUAAAUUGGGUCGAGUUUUGGAUUUUCAAUGUAGAGUGGAUGAUGAGAGAGAGAGAUCUGCGAAGGUUUUUCCGAAACAGCUCAAUGAGGGAGAUUCUUAGUUUCUGCAAAUUGACGUAGGGGUUUAAUGAAAAAAAAAUGAAAGAGAACCGACAUAGCUUUUCGUGUCGUUUCCCAUAAACGGGGCCAAAUGUUGAUGCACAAAACCGGAGGUCUUGGAACAACGUAAAUCCGACCAAAAAUUUUCCUAGGCCUCCUCUUCUUUGGGCCUAAUAACUUUCAUAACAAAUAUAUAUGAAUGAGGAGUUUCAGGCUACCACUUAGAAAGGAAAAUGGUGAAGUUUUGUUACUUUAGAAACUUGGCUAAUAGCAAGACAUCUCCUUCGUCAACUCCAUCGACUGAAGACUUGGGGGACUCCUACCAUAUGCUACUGCACCUUGAUACUCGGAAGUCUCAUAACCACUCAGUGACUUGGAUUUUUCAAGUCUCCAACCGAAAAGUUUUCCUCACUCUGGAAAUUAAGGGAACACUACCUCAACCUACAUGUUUCACUCACAAAGCUUCAACAUACAAGCUUCAACAAAAGAAAAAAAAUCAAAGAACUUAGAGAAUAAGGCUUUGGUGUAUUUAACACAAUACGUUGAAAUGAAGCAAAGCUUAUUUAUUGAUAUAUCUGAUAAGUUACAAAUAUGUACAUAUACAUGAGUCAAAAUAAACAAACAAGAUGGAGCCUUCACAAAGGUUGCUUAGGAGAAGUCUCAGCAGUCGACAGAGCCUCAGAAAGGGAAGGCACCGAAGGGUGAUCAUUCAGAGCCUCAGUACUGGACAGAACCCCAGAAGGAGGAGGCAUCAGAGGUUGAUCAUUUGGAACUUCAUUACGCAGUACAACCCCAGAAGACGAAGGCAAUAAAUGCCUUUGGAACAAACCCACAAACCUCUGAUGAUCAAGUAAAAUCUGACCAUCAGAUUCCUGCAUUUGGUCAAGCUUCCUCUUCAUGUUUGUAGCAUAGUCAUGUGCGAGCCUGUGCAACUGUUAUUCUCAUACUUGAGCCCUCUAAUAUCCUGUUUGAGACUUAUCACUUCAGCUGCCAAUGAUUCAACCUGGCGGGUUCGAGCAAAUAGGCGUUGGGCCAUAUUAGACACAGAACCUGCACACUGAACACUGAGAGUCAGAGAAUCCUUAACAGCCAACUAAUCAGACCGUUUAGAAAGUAGUCUGUUAUCUUCGGGAGUGAGAAGGUUCCUGACCACCACCGCAGCAGUCAUAUCAUUCUUCAUCACAGAGUCCCCAACGGUAAGAGGACCAGUAGGGGAUAAGAAGGAUGGGCACUAUAUGUUGUCAUGAAGAGGCAUGGCUGCCUCUUCACCAAAGUUCGAGUCAAAACGACGGUCGGAUGAGCCAGACAUUUCUAGAAAUGAUGAAGGAGAAAUAAGGUCCAAUAAAUCUCUGAAGUACGAAAAUAAGGGGGAAAUGCCUACAAGCAAUAACUCUCUGAACGUACUUCUUGCACACAAUUGGUGCCCCUAUAAAAGAAAGGACAACAGGGUCGUUGGUUCAAAAAUCGAAGAGGCACCACUCUUCGGAUUUCAAAGAGGCAUUAUUCUCCACACGCAACAUCAGCUCAUCAGGUACCACAUAUAACUUUACCAAAGAUCUCUGACAAAGUUUAGACACAUAAAUUUUGAAGGUCCAACUACCCUACUAUUACCCACAAAGGUAAAGGAACAACACCACUGCUUGAUAACUGGAAAGUCCCUAUGUGUGUCAACAUCCGUGCUCCGUGGCAAGGCACACUGACAAAAAUGCCCAAUCUUUACUCACAUCGAGAAAACACUCCCAACAUGAUUACUUGCUCAAAAAUCGAAGAGUCACCACUCCCUGAAUCUCGAGAGCCAAACUCUCACCAGGAUUGCUUUCUCAAAAAUGGAAGAGUCACCGCUAUCCAACUCUCGAGAGCCAGACUCACAACAGGGUUACUUUUUCAAAAAUCGAAGAGGCACAGCUUUCCAAAUCUCGAGAGCCAAACUCCCAACAUGAUUUGUUUCUCAAAAAUUAAAGAGGCAUCGCUCUCCGAAUCUCGAAAGCCAGACUCCCAAUAAGAUUGCUUUCUCAAAAAUCGAAGAGGCACCGCUCUCCGAAUCUCGAAAGCCAGACUCCCAAUAAGAUUGCUUUCUCAAAAAUCGAAGAGGCACCACUCUCCGAAUCUCAAGAGCCAGACUCCCAACAAGAUUACUUUCUUAAAAAUCAAAGAGGCACCGUUCUCCGAAUCUCGAGAGUCAGAUCCCCAACUGGAUUGCUUGUUCGAAAACCGAAGAGGCACCACUCUCUAAACUUUGAGAGCCAGAUUUCCUUGGAUAAAGCUUAUCUGCAAUCUUCACAUGCAACAUCAGCUUUCCAGAUACCACAUACCACUUUUUCAAAGUGCUUUGACAAAGUUAAAACACGUGAAUCUUACGGUUCCCACUACAUUGCUAUGACCGAGAAAGGUAAAGGAACAGCGUUACUACUCGCUGUUAGGACAAUUCCUAUAUAUGUCGACCUUCAUCCUCCAUAGCCAGGCAAAGUUGCAAAUAAAAAAAUGCUCAACUUUUCAUCACAUCCGAGAGGGCACUCUCAGUAGAGUCUCUCAAAAUACUCAGCUUAUUUUCCCCUCGAUAAUACCUCUGCAAACAAGCCACACCAGAGCCAGAGUAUCUCAUAUCAUCAGGGUUAAAAGUUAGAGUAUCUCAUAUCAUGUUUUUUCCCUAUCUUUUCCUUUUGCCUUGUUCUUACCUACAAAACAAUGAGAAAGAGAGCAAUCAGUCAGCACUUGGAAUCAAGCUUCCAGUCAGGAACUGACUAUCUGGAGCUCCUUACCUGAUUACUUACUUGGCAUUGCUCUCGAGUACUCAUCUUCAACAUCUUAUGCUUCCAGAAAAGAUACCACAUCUGCCUGAAGAACAGAUAGGGUAAGUGAGAAAGAUACAAGGAAGCAUAUGGAGACAAGCGCAACAGAACACGUGCCGAUUCAUCUAUUACUUUGUCAACAGCAAAAGUAUCUCAUAUCAUCAAGGUCGAACGCACUCUUGAUUUGAUGGACUUGUUUUGACCCUCAAAUUCUUGAGUCGGCCUUAUACUCUUGAGGAAACUAGAAAACCCUUCAGCCCAGUUCAAGAAUAAGCCUGUGGAAAGUUACUUCUUCAAAAGCAAAAGUAUCUUAUAUCAUCUCUUCUCAUUUUUCUUCUAUUUAUCCUUCAUGCUGCCUGCAAGAUAAGGAGAAUGAGAACAAUCAGCCGGAACUCGAAAUCAAACUUCUAAUCUGGGACUGAUUGCUUGGAGCUCUGAUUGAUUACCUUGUCUGUCACCUCUUUUGGCAGAUCUCCUAGCUCGGCGACUUGGGGGACUCCUACUACAUGGUUUGUAUCGCGCUUGACCAAGCCUGAAACUACAAGUAAGCUUCAAGUGAAAUUAAUACAUUACCUUGUGCAUCUUCACCGAUUAAAGAUACCACCCCUGGAUGGAGGAAGAGUACUUCCAGAGAAGAUGCCACAUCUACAUAUGAGACAGAUAAGGCAAGUGAAGACGAUACCACACUUCGGUGCUUAGAAGUUUCGUGAUUACUCAGCGGCUUGGAUCUUGCAAGUCCCCAACCGAGAAGCUUCCCUCAUUCGGGAACUUAGGGGAGCACUGUUUGUACCAUACUUGACCAAUCCCGAAACUACUGAUCACCGGUCAACGUUAUACUAUCAAGGACCCAGAAGAGUUUCCCUACAACCAGGAGGCCAAUCACAGUGCAACACGUGUCGAUAUCAGAAACCAAUCACAGCGCGACACGUGUCAACAUCAGAAGCCAAUCACAACACGACACGUGUCAAUGUCAGAAUAAAGCGAGAAACUCUUCUAUAAAAGGAGAUCAUUCUCCCACAAUAUUUCGUAAUGUCAUUUGUACUAAAUCAUUCACUUGUACUCACUAAAGGAGAGCUUGAACCUAUGUACUUGUGUAAACCUUCACAAUUAAUGAGAACUCCUCUACUCUGUGGACGUAGCCAAUCUGAGUGAACCACGUACAUCUUGUGUUUGUUUCCCUAUCUCUAUCCAUUUACAUACUUAUCCACACUAGUGACCGGAGCAAUCUAGCGAAGGUCACAAACUUAACAUUUUCUGUUGCACCAAAGUCCUCCCUCAUUUUGUGCAUCAACAAAGUCUAUUGAGGCCAUGGUUGGAAUUUUAAAAUUUGGGAACUUUAACGAAAAGCUCCCAGUACUGUUCACUUUAACGAAAUACCACAUUUUUACACUAAAAAGUCAAUUUUGGUACUAUUCAUUUUACCCUUUAUUUUGUCCUUAUCAUUAAAACUCAAAGUUUUCAUGCCCUUUUCAUUAGUUUUCCUUAAAAUUUUGGUUUGCUUGUUUUUGGGUUAGGUUUGUUGAGGUUUGAGUUUUUGUCUCUCCUUGAAAUGAUUCAAAACUAGGGAAGUUCUAUGAAAUGUAUUUUGUGUUUUAGUGUACAAAGAUUUGGUGACCAUGUAUUGCUAAUUUAAAAGUGUGGGGCUAAUGCUGGAGCUCCAUCAUGUUUAUAUGUUUAUGAACUUAGCAGGACUAUGAAUUUGUUGUUUAUCUUUCUCUAGGGUUAGAGAAUGCCUCAUUUCGGCGAUCAAUCCCUCAACCUCAUCGCCCAUAUAUGCCGCAAAGCGAAUGAAGUAGCGCACUUUCUAGCCCGCUCGACACUUCUUUGUAAUGGUUUUUUGGUCUUGGUCUGAAGAACCUCCUGAUCUCUCUUCUGUGUAUAUCUCUUCGACCAUUUGGUCUUUCAAUGAAACACUGCUGAUUUUCAAAAAAAUAAAAAAUAAAUAAAAUUCGGUAAUCGUUGAAGAUUGGAGGUUGCAUUGAGCGUUUCUCACCCUCGACUUUGUCACAUUGAUAUCGCGAUCGCAUACAUUAUCUGACAUGGACGCAGUAUAUAUCAUUGUUGUCGGCGGAAAUAUAGGGGAAACCAUGGCUGUAGCUGUGAAAUCUACUGAAGAAUCAACAAAACAGAAUAAACCUUUAACAAGACAGAGGCAAGUGGUUGUGACAGGAACGAGUGUGGUGACCCUACGCGGUCAUGAUUCUGAUGUUUUCUACAAUAAUUUGCUUGAGGGAGUUCGUGGCAUUAGUCAUUAGUGAGAUAGAAGCUUUUGAUUGCACCCAAUUUCCAGCAGUAGAAGUCAUGGAGACGUUAGAUAAGGCAAAAUGUGUGGUUUUCAUUGGCUCAACAAUGGGUGGCAUGAAGGUAAGCCCAGUGUUCUGUGCCUUAAUAUUAUGUACACUUUUUGCGGAACGUUGAAAGAUCUUUCUACCGGUUUGUCUUCAAUUUGAUGUUUUUAGCAAGCAUGGUUUAUAGUUUGUAAUCCUCCAAAUGUCAUUUUUGGUGGAGAUGCACGAAGACUAGUUUCUCUGAUUUCAGAACUGGACUUGUUUAUGUUCUUUAUCUGUUAAUUUAAGACAGUGUAUCAGUACCACAAAAUCUGAUUUCAGAACUGGAUUUUUUUGUGGAGAUCCGCAAAAUCUGAUUUUGGGACAAGAUCUGAUGUGUUUUUCAUCACUUCAGUCAUGUUUGAUAAAUCCAUUUUGUGUUUUGAUAUUGAAGCUUUACAGUUUUCCUAUAAGAAGGUGAACCCUUUCUCUGUACCUUUGCAACCACAAAUAUGGCUGCCAUGCUCGCAAUGGAUCUUGUGAGAUUAUAAUAUAUUCGAUGCAAUACUCUUACAAUUCGUGAUGGCUGCUGAUUUUGUACUUGUCCUUUUAACUGAUAUUUAUUCUUACACUUGCAGGGUUGGAUGGUCCCAAACUAUUCAACCUCUACUGCUUGUGCUACAAGCAGCUUCUGUACUUUGAAUUCGGCAAAUCAUAUCAUUAAAGCCAAAGCAGUAAGUAUUCCUACAAGCAGCUUCUGUACUUUUAAGUAUAUUAUAAUAACUGAUAUACAAUUUUCUUUGAAAUCUUACGCAGGACCUUAUGCUCUGUGGUGGUUCAGAUUAAGUGAUGAUACCUCUUGGUAUUGCUCCCAUUCUUUGCAAAUGUUAUUUCUUAGUUUUACUUGGAUUUGCACGUACAAUAAUCUUGUUCUUGCAAUUAUUGGAGGAAUGGGAGGCUUUGUGGCAAGCAGAGCACUGACACAAAGAAACAAUGAUCCGACCAAAGCAUCACGCCCUUGGGAUAGUGUAAUGCGUCCAAUAACUAUGCUAGAUUCAUUUAUUCUUUUAUUUCCACUGUGAUGGCUUUGUUAGGAGGGAAGGAGCUGGCGUUUUGCCUCCGGAAGAGUUAGAACAUGCUAUGGUAUUUUCUAAAUCUAUGACCUUGGCAAUGGCAAUUGGGUGUCUGUCUGGAUAUCCUUUUUUUUCUGUUAAGGUUGUAGGUGCAAUGUCUGUAGGGACGUUCUGUAUCCUGUGGUUCCCUCAAGCUCUAUGGUCUCACAAACACGUUUUCUAAUCAUUCAUCUGUAUCUCACUAUGCAAUAUGGUGUUUUUUUUAUUAAUGUCCUUGGAAACAGGGGCCGGGGUUAUUCUCUGCAUUGAAAAGGCUUUAGAACAGUCUGGGAUGUCUAGGGAAGAUGUUAAUUACAUUAAUGUACAUGCUACAUCCACACCGGCCGGAGAUCUCAAGGAGUAUAAUGCACUCAUUCAUUGUUUUGGCCAGAAUCCUGAUGUAACAACAAUACAUUGUUGACUUGUAUUAGGAUUCCUAUAAUUGUGGGAUUCCUACUGUAAUUGGUUUCCUAGUUUAGGAUAUAAUUAUUCUUUCCCUUAUUCUUUCCCAUAUCUGUAUAGGGUUGUAUAUAUACCUUGUUUUGAUAUGAAAUCAAAAUAUAAUUGAAAGGCAUUCUUUCUUCUUGGCACCAGAGCCGGGUUAGAAAAACACUGAACCCUAAUUUUUUUUUUUUCCUGCCGUGUACCUGAUCCAUUGCAGCGAGCAACCUUAGGGUUGUUGCUGCCCGUUCCCUGACUGAUUGCAGCGAGCACCAGAGAAGGUGUUGCUGCCCUGACCGAUUGCAGCGAGCACCAGAUAGGGUGUUGCUGCCCUGUUGAUUUGUCCAACGCGUUCUAGGUCCCAUCACCGCUGCUGUUUUUUUUCUCUGCCUAGUUUGUGUCAGUCAACACCGAAGCAACAGAGAGAUGGCUGAAGAAAAGGGGGCUGGUUCACAGGUUGUUUCAGUGGCUGCUCCAAUUAUGGUGCAGUCAGAGAAUUCAAGCUUUAAUAUUGGUAUGGUUUUGGAUGAAAAGAACUAUGAUUUAUGGGCUCCCCUCAUUCAAAUUCAUAUUGUUGGAAGGAAGAAGAUGGGAUAUCUUCGUGGGUCUAUCAAGGCACCUAGCGAAGACGAUCCUAAAUAUGAUGGUUGGUUUUCUGAAGAUCAAAAAAUUAAGAGUUGGCUUUUGUCUUCAAUGAAGCCCGAGAUUAUGAAACGGUACAUUCGGUUGUCUACAUCGAAGGAGAUUUGGGACUCCUUGAAGGCAGCCUACUUUGAUGAGAAUGACGAGGCUAGAAUUUAUUCGUUGAAUCAGAAGGCAUCCCAACUACGUCAGAAUGGCCGACCCUUAGCUACCUAUUUUGGGGAGCUCACUGAGAUCUUCCAAGAAUUGGAUCACUUUAAUAAAGUAUCCAUGGAGUGUGAGAAUGACAUCAAAGUGUUUCAGAAAUCCACUGAGAGACAACGGGUCUAUGUGUUUCUCGGUGGUCUCGAUGAUGGGUUUGAUCAGGUGCGUGGAGAAGUGCUGCGGAAGGAUCCCCCACUUGGCCUGCAGGCUUCUUAUGCCUAUGUUCGUCGAGAAGCCGAUCGAAAGGAAGCAAUGAAGACAGAGGUUGACAAGGGGGAGUCUGUUGCCAUGGCAGCAAGGGCCCGUGGAUCAUCUAGUGGGUCGAACCGAGAAGGGGUACAAAACCGGCCUGGAUCAACUCAGCCGAGCCAGACAAGCCGGGAUCGUCCACAAGGUAAGUGCCCACACUGUGGCUUAACGGGACACUACAAGAGUCGUUGUUUUGAGCUGAUUGGAUAUCCCGAGAAUUGGGAUAAGACCCGUGAUCCUCGGUGCAACAAAUCUCGAGCCUCCAUUGCUGAAACCAAGAAUGAUUCGGAUCAGAUAGCGGACAAGGCAUCUGCCAUGAUAGCUGCGGCAGGAAGUGAUGGUAAGGCACUCAGUACUUCUACUUCUGUUAUGAAUAAUACAUGGAUAAUUGAUUCCGGAGCUACUGAACAUAUGACUUGUGAUUCUAGACAGGUUCCAUCACUAAAAACAUCCACACAAACCGAGGUCAAUGUUACUAAUGGUAAUGCCGUCCCUGUUAUUGGGGAAGGUGCUGUUUCCCUUUCCGAUACCAUGAAACUUGACACUGUUCUUGUGGUUCCCUCUCUAAAUUAUAAUUUGUUGUCCGUUGCUCAAAUAACCCUUGCCUUACAUUGUUUGGUUAUUUUUUGGCCCUAUUUUUGUGUUUUUAAGGACAUCCAGACGCGGAAGAUGAUUGGUUAUGGUAUUAGAAGAGGGAAACUUUAUUACUUGGAGUUGACCACCAGUAGUUCUAGCUUGCUGACGCAAGCUCUUUCCGUUGAUGAUUCUCAAGGGGUUACUAAUAAAGUGUCAGACAUCUGGAUGUCGCCUUGGGCAUGCUUCCUUUGGUUAUCUGCAUAAGUUAUUUCCUAGUUUGUUUGUCAAGAAUGAUGUUUCUCAGUUUAAGUGUGAUGUUUGUGAAAUGGCUAAGAGUCAUCGAACCUCUUUUCCUCCCAGUUUAAAUAAAAGUACCGUUCCUUUUAUGAUUGUGCAUUCUGAUGUAUGGGGACCGUCAAAAGUAGCCACUCUUGGUGGUGCUCAUUGGUUUGUUACUUUUAUUGAUGAUUGUACCCGCGUGACUUGGGUUAUUUUGUUAAAGUCGAAGAGUGAAGUUAGUUCGGCCUUCCAACGGUUUCAUAAAAUGAUUGUUGUACAAUACAACAGGAAUAUCCAGGUUCUUCGCAAUGACAAUGGGGGAGAAUAUGUUAAUAUGGAACUUCGUUCAUUCUUCGAGUUGCAUGGUAUUGUUCAUCAGACUACGUGUCCGUAUACUCCUCAACAGAAUGGGGUUGCAGAAAGGAAAAAUCGACACUUGUUGGAAAUGGUUCGUGCUUCCCUACUUGUGGCACAUCUGCCGCUCCAUUAUUGGGGAGAGGCACUUACGUCUGCAACUUAUCUUAUUAAUCGCCUUCCAUCUCGGACUCAACUUCCAUACGCCAUUUCAGGCUCUCACAUCUCAGACUAGCAGCCCCCCGACUCCCAAUCUUCCCCCACGGGUCAUCGGAUGUGUUGCGUUUGUUCACCUUCAUCCACCUCAACGGAAGACUAAACUUGAACCUAGAGCUCUUCGUUGUGUUUUUUUGGGGUAUGCUACUACCCAGAAAGGGUAUCGUUGUUAUCAUCCUUCGAGUAAAAAGAUGUUUAUUACUAAAGAUGUGAGUUUUCACAAGACUAAAAUGUUCUUUGGUUCCUCCCCGUCCUCACUUCAGGGGGAGUACCACAAUGAUGAAGUUCUGACUCGCGAUAAUAGGGAUGUGGUGAGCUUGGAGUACACGGCUUCUGGAAGAGGGCAACAACCCACGGUACCUGGAGAAGGGCAGCAGCCAAUGCCCGUGACACCUGGAGAAGGGCAGCAGCCCGUGUUUUCUAGGUUUAGUCCUACCGAGCAGCCUACUGAGGAGCAGCCAACAAGUCAGGAAGAGGAGCAGCCCACGGGUCUCACGGGUAUUGAGUUGGAAGAUGAGAUGCAGCCGCCCAAUUGCCGUGAAACAGAGCAGAAAUUACAGCAUGUGUCACGAGAUACUACUUCUCAUAACCAAUCGUCUUCUACACCGGAUGCACCUCUACUUCGUCGCCUUCCAGAACGCAUUAAUAGAGGUAUUCCCAAACCCACUUAUGAGGCAGAUCCUGAGUGUAAACACAAGUAUUCCAUGAGUGAGCCAAACUCUGAUUCCAGAGUGAGAUACCCAUUAAAUCAUUAUGUGUCUACUUGUCACCUGUCAGAAUCAAAUAAGUCAUUUGUAUAUCAAUUAUCUACUGUAUCUAUUACUAACAGUGUGCAGGAGGCUUUAGCAGAUUCCCGCUAGAAAGAUGCAAUGAACGAGGAAUUUAGAUCGUUGAAGAAGAAUGCUACCUGGGAAAUAACUGACUUGCCAGCCGGAAAGAAAAUAGUGGGAUGCAAAUGGGUUUAUACAGUAAAAUAUAAAGCCGACGGAACGGUAGAUCGCUUUAAAGCAAGAUUGGUGGCAAAGGGGUAUACACAGAAAUAUGGCAUUGAUUACACUGAUACGUUCGCACCAGUGGCAAAGAUCAAUACAGUUCGUGUUCUACUGUCCUUAGCAGCAAAUCUGGAUUGGCCUUUGCAACAGUUCGACGUAAAAAAUGCUUUCCUCCAUGGAGAUCUGACUGAGGAGAUUUACAUGGACCUUCCACCAGGGUGCAGUGAUUCGGACAGACAGAAACAAAAGGUAUGUAGGCUCAAGAAAUCACUGUAUGGAUUAAAGCAGUCUCCGAGAGCCUGGUUUGGUAGAUUUACCAAGUCCAUGAGGGCAUUUGGGUAUAUACAGAGUAAUUGGGAUCACACGUUGUUUCUGAAACACCAGAACGGAAAGGUUACGGCUCUAAUCGUGUAUGUGGAUGAUAUGGUGGUUACUGGUGAUGAUCCUGUUGAGCAAGCAGCCUUGAAAAGUUAUUUGUCCACAGAAUUUGAAAUGAAAGAUCUUGGUCCUUUGAAAUAUUUUCUUGGGAUUGAAGUAUCAAGAUGCAAGUUCGGGAUAUUCCUAUCACAAAGGAAGUAUGUUCUUGACCUGUUGGAAGAAACCAGUAUGACAGCAUGUAAGCCGGUGUCUACUCCGUUGGCCGAAUGAAUGAAGUUGGGUAUAGAUCAGAACCAAGUACCGGUUGAUAAAGGGAGGUAUCAAAGGUUAGUAGGAAGAUUAAUGUACUUGGCUCACACUAGGCAUGAUCUUGCUCAUGCCUUAAGUGUGAUUAGUCAAUAUAUGCACAAUCCAGGAGAACAACAUAUGAGUGCAGUUAUGAGAAUAUUGAGUUACUUAAAGGGGAGCCCUGGUAAAGGAAUUUUAUUUCGGAAAAAUGAGCAUUUCAGAAUUGAGUGCUAUACGGAUGCUGAUUGGGCAGGAUCGACGGAUGAUAGACGCUCGACAUCUGGGUAUUUCACCUUUGUUGGGGGAAAUCUAGUAACGUGGAGAAGCAAGAAGCAGAAUGUCGUAUCAAGGUCAAGUGCAGAAGCCGAAUUUAGAGGCAUGGCACUCGGUAUUUGUGAACUCUUGUGGCUUAAGUUUCUGUUGCAAGAUGUGGGGGUCAAACAAGGUCUGCCUAUGAAGUUAUUCUGUGACAAUAAAGCUGCACGGGAUAUUGCUCAUAAUCCUGUGCAACAUGAUCGGACCAAGCAUGUAGAGGUGAUCGGUUCUUUAUUAAAGAGAAGCUAGAUAGUAAAGUAAUUGAGGUUUCUCCCAUAGGAACGGAUGACCAAGUAGCAGAUAUUCUCACAAAGGCGGUUUCUAGUAACAAGUUCUCCAAAUUUCUAGACAAGUUGGGCAUGUGCAACAUCUAUGCACCAACUUGAGGGGGAGUGUUGACUUGUAUUAGGAUUCCUAUAAUUGUGGGAUUCCUACUGUAAUUGGUUUCCUAGUUUAGGAUAUUAUUAUUCUUUCCCUUAUUCUUUCCCAUAUCUGUAUAGGGUUGUAUAUAUACCUUGUUUUGAUAUGAAAUCAAAAUAUAAUUUAAAGGCAUUCUUUCUUCUUACAUAACAUGCAUUUUCUGUUUUCUUAAUUCCUGUAUUUCCAGUUGAGAGUGAACUCUACAAAAUCCAUGAUUGGUCACCUACUGGGAGCAUCUGGUGCUGUAGAAGCUGUUGCAGCAGUACAGGUAACUUACGUGAUGUUUUUUACUUGGAAAAACUGUACUAUUUUUAGACCUUAUAUGUAAGACCAAAUACAAUUCUUGUUUGUUUGGCUUGAAGUGUAGUUCUUGACAUGUUAUCUUCUUUUUGGGUAGGCGAUAAGAACUGGGUGGAUACAUCCAAAUAUUAAUCUGGAAAGCCCAGAUGAGGGCGUGGUACGUUGUCUUCCGUUCCCUUGUAACCCUUUUCUGGUAUAUAAUGUCCAAUGAAAGUGUAUUUGGAAUCCUCUAACUCUGUCAGCACAUGAAUGCAGGAUACAAAACUACUGGUGGGUCCAAAGAAAGAGAGACUGGACGUUAAGGUGGCAUUGUCUAACUCAUUUGGGUUCGGUGGCCACAACUCAUCGGUCUUGUUUGCCCCUUACAAGUAGAAACAUAGAUCUCAGUGUGCUACUCCAACCUUUGAUGCAAUCGUACUGCAGGUAUGUUUGCAUACUGCCACCUUUUUAUUAGAAAUAAGAAAGAAUUGUAAUAUGUAAACAAAUGAAGCAAAGUGUCGGGAUUGCUACUCUGUCCGAGAGUUAAUAUCUUUCAACUUGAAAUCAACAUAGUAGAACAGUUACGAGCACUGUCACAUAUUUCUUCAACAAUGAAAUCAAUGAUCUUUCUUUCGCCGGAUGGGAAAUUCAGUCGGAGUGUUACGUGGAUAAAACGUCGUGAGCCUUUGGGAAGUGGGUCUUAUGGGACUGUGUAUGAAGGCUUAACUGAGUAAGUGGUCAUCUUCCACAUCCAACAACAACAACAACAACAAAGCCUUUUCCCAUUAAGUGGGGUCGGCUAUAUGAAUCCUAGAACGCCAUUGCGCUCGGUUUUGUGUCAUGUCCUCCGUUAGAUCCAAGUACUCAAGUCUUUUCUUAGGGUCUCUUCCAAAGUUUUCCUAGGUCUUCCUCUACCCCUUCGGCCCUGAACCUCUGUCCCGUAGUUACAUUUUCGAACCGGAGCGUCAGUAGGCCUUCUUUGCACAUGUCCAAACCACCGGAACCGAUUUUCUCUCAUAUUUCCUUCAAUUUUGGCUACUCCUACUUUACCUCGGAUAUCCUCAUUCCCAAUCUUAUCCUUUCUCGUGUGCCCAUACAUCCCACGAAGCAUCCUCAUCUCCGCUACACCCAUUUUGUGUACGUGUUGAUGCUUCACCGCCCAACAUUCUGUGCCAUACAACAUCGCUUGGCCUUAUUGCCGUCCUAUAAAAUUUUCCCUUGAGCUUCAGUGGCCUACGACGGUCACACAACACGCCGGAUGCACUCUUACACUUCAUCCAUCCAGCUUGUAUUCUAUGGUUGAGAUCUCCAUCUAAUUCUCCGUUCUCUUGCAAGAUAGAUCCUAGGUAGCGAAAAACGGUCACUUUUUGUGAUCUUCGCUAGAUUGCUCCGGUCAUUAGUGUGGAUAAGUAUAUAAAUGGAUAGAGAUAGGAAAGCAAACACAAGAUGUACGUGGUUCACCCAGAUUGGCUACGUCCACGGAAUAGAGGAGUUCUCAUUAAUUGUGAAGGGUUUACACAAGUACAUAGGUUCAAGCUCUCCUUUAGUGAGUACAAGUGAAUGAUUUAGUACAAAUGACAUUAGGAAAUAUUGUGGGAGAAUGAUCUCGUAACCACGAAACUUCUAAGUACCGGAGUGUGGUAUCGUCUUGACUUGCCUUAUCUGUCUCAUAGGUAGAUGUGGCAUCUUCUCUGGAAGUACUCUUCCUCCAUCCAGGGGUGGUAUCUGUAACUGGUGGAGAUGCACAAGGUAAUGUAUCAAUUUCACUUGAAGCUUACUUGUAGUUUCAGGCUUGGUCAAGCGCGAUACAAACCAUGUAGUAGGAGUCCCCCAAGUCGCCGAGCUAGGGGAUCUGCUGAAAGAGGUGACAGACAAGGUAAGCAAUCAGAGCUCCGGCUGAUUGUUCACAUUCUCCCUAUCUUGCAGGCAGCAUGAAGGAUAAAGAGAAGAAAAAAUGAGAAGAGAUGAUAUGGGAUACUUUUGCUUUUGAAGAAGUAACUUUCCACAGGCUUAUUCUUGAACUGGGCUGGAGGGUUUUCUGGUUUCCUCCAGAGUAUAAGGCCGACUGAAGAAUUUGAGGGUCAAAACAAGUCCAUCAAAUCUAGAGUACGUUCGACCCUGCUGAUAUGGGAUACUUUUGCUUUUGACAGAGUAGUGGAUGUAUCGGCACGUGUGCUGUUACGCUUGUCUCCACAUGCUUCCUUGUAUCCUUCUCACUUGCCCUAUCUGUUCCUCAGGCAGAUGCGGUAUCUUCCCUGGAAGCAUAAGAUGUUGAAGAUGAGUACUCGAGAGCAAUGCCAGGUAAGUAAUCAGGUAAGGGGUUCCAGGCAGUCAGUUCCUGGCUGGAAGCUUGAUUCCAAGUGCUGACUGAUUGCUCUCUUUCUCCUUGUCUUGCAGGUAAGAACAAGGCCAAAGGAAAAGACAGGGAAAAAGCAUGAUAUGGGAUACUCUUGCUUUUAACCCUGAUGAUAUGAGAUAUUCUUGCUCUAGUAUAGCUUGUUUACAGAGGUAUUAUCGGGGGGAAAGAAAGCUGAAUAUUUCGAAAGGCUUCGUUGGGAGUGCCCUCUCAGAUAAGAGAAAGGGUUGAGCAUUUUUGCAGGUCUGCCUGUCCGUUAGGGAUGGAGGUCGACAUAUAUAGGAGUCUCCCUAACAUCAAGUAAUAAUGCUAUUCCUUUACCCUGCUUGGUCAUAGCACGGUAGUGGGAGCUGCCAGCUUCACAUGUUUUAACUCUGUCAGAGCACUUUGAAAAAGUGGUCUGUGGUAUCUGGAAAGCUGAUGUUGCGUGUGAAGAUUACAGACAAGCUUUAUCCAAGGAGAUCCAGCUCUUGAAGUUGGGAAAGUGGUGCCUCUUCGAUUUUUCGAACAAGCAAUCCUGUCGGGGAUCUGGCUCUCGAGAUUCGGAGAACGAUGCCUCUUCGAUUUUUGAGAAAGCAAUCCUGCUGGGGGUCUGGCUCUCGAGAUUCGGAGAGCGGUGUCUCUUCGAUUUUUGAGAAAGUAAUCAUGUUGGGAGUCUGGCUCUCGAGAUUCGGAGGGCGGUGCCUCUUCGAUUUUGGAGCAAGCAAUCUUGUUGGGAGUGUUUUCUCGAAUGUGAGUAAAGGUUGGGCAUGUUUGCUAGUCUACCUUGCCACGAAGCACAGAGGUUGACACACAGGGACUUUCCAAUUAUCCAGCAGUGGUACUGUUCCUUUACCCUCUCUUCGAUUUUUGAGAAAGUAAUCAUGUUGGGAGUCUGGCUCUCGAGAUUCGGAGGGCGGUGCCUCUUCGAUUUUGGAGCAAGCAAUCUUGUUGGGAGUGUUUUCUCGAAUGUGAGUAAAGGUUGGGCAUGUUUGCUAGUCUACCUUGCCACGAAGCACAAAGGUUGACACACAGGGACUUUCCAAUUAUCCAGCAGUGGUACUGUUCCUUUACCCUCUCUUCGAUUUUUGAGAAAGUAAUCAUGUUGGGAGUCUGGCUCUCGAGAUUCGGAGGGCGGUGCCUCUUCGAUUUUGGAGCAAGCAAUCUUGUUGGGAGUGUUUUCUCGAAUGUGAGUAAAGGUUGGGCAUGUUUGCUAGUCUACCUUGCCACGAAGCACAGAGGUUGACACACCGGGACUUUCCAAUUAUCCAGCAGUGGUACUGUUCCUUUACCCUUGUGGGUAAUAAUAUGGUAGCUAGACCUUCAAAAUUUAUGUGUCUAAACUUUGUUAGUGUUGUUUCUUUGCUAAUUCUUUUACCCUUCUUGGUCAGAGCGAUGUAGUGGGAGCUGCAAGCUUCACGUGUCUCAACUUUGUCAGAGAACUUUGGCAAAGUUAUCUGUGGUACCCAUGAGCUACUGUUGCGUGUGGGAAGUGGGUGAUUGAACAGUACGAUUCAUGUGCUUUCUACUUCGCCAGAAAUCUUCGACAGAAUGCCCAUAAUUUCCGCAAAGCUGAGUGUGCGUGUGACAGGUGCUGACAAGGCUGGAAAAGUAGGUGCCUCUUCGAUUUCUGAGAUCGGCCCUCUCGUGGUCUCUGAGCAGCCCAGCUUUUGAGAAAGCAAGCCUCUUCGAUUUCUGAGAUCGGCCUUCGUGGUCUUUGAGCAGCCCAGCUUUUGAGAAAGCAAACGCCUCUUCGAUUUCUGAGAUCGACCCUCGUGGUCUCUCUGAGCAGCCCAGCUUUUGAGAAAGCAAACGCCUCUUCGAUUUCUGAGCAGGCGCCUCUUCGAUUUCUGAAGCUUCGUCGAGUGCAGAUUUUUAUAGGGGCUGACAUUAAGUUCCAAAGCACACUUGAAUAUCCACCAGUAGAAGCUCCAUUCUUGCACUUCUAAGAUCUUGAUUUGUCCGACCUCUUCUCUCUUCAACACCUUUGAAAAUGUCUGGCCCCUCCGACCGUCGUUUUGACUUGAACCUUGUUGAAGAGGCAGCCCCGCCUUCUCCAGACAACAUAUGGCGCCCAUCCUUCGUCUCCCCUACUGGUCCUCUUACCGUUGGGGAUUCCGUGAUGAAGAAUGAUAUGACCGCUGCGGUAGUGGCCAGGAACCUUCUCACUCCCAAAGAUAACAGACUACUUUCCAAACGGUCUGAUGAGUUGGCUGUUAAGGAUUCUCUGGCUCUCAGUGUUCAGUGUGCAGGUUCUGUGUCUAAUAUGGCCCAACGCCUAUUUGCUCGAACCCGCCAAGUUGAAUCAUUGGCGGCUGAAGUGAUGAGUCUCAAACAGGAGAUUAGAGGGCUCAAGCAUGAGAAUAAACAGUUGCACCGGCUCGCACAUGACUAUGCUACAAACAUGAAGAGGAAGCUUGACCAGAUGAAGGAAUCUGAUGGUCAGGUUUUACUUGAUCAUCAGAGAUUUGUGGGUUUGUUCCAAAGGCAUUUAUUGCCUUCGUCUUCUGGGGCUGUACCGCGUAAUGAAGCUCCAAAUGAUCAACCUCUGAUGCCUCCUCCUUCUAGGGUUCUGUCCAGUACUGAGGCUCCGAAUGAUCCCCCUCCGGUGCCUUCUCUUUCUGGGGCUCUACCGACUGCUGAGACUUCUCCUAAGCAACCUUUGUGAAGGCUCCCUCUUGUUUGUUUAUUUUGACUCAAGUAUAUGUACAUAUUUGUAACUUAUCGGGGAUAUCAAUAAAUAAGCUUUCCUUCAUUUCAACGUAUUGUGUUAAAUACACCAAAGCCUUCUUCGCUAAGUUCUUUGAAUUUUCUUUUGUUGAAGCUUGUAUGUUGAAGCUUUGUGAGUGGAGCAUGUAGGUUGAGGUAGUGUUCCCUUAAUUUCCCGAGUGAGGAAAACUUCUCGGUUGGAGACUUGGAAAAUCCAAGUCACUGAGUGGGAUCGGCUAUAUGAAUCUUAGAACGCCAUUGUGUUCUGUCCUGUGUCAUGUCCUCCGUUAGAUCCAAGUACUCUAAGUCUUUUCUUAGGGUCUCUUCCAAAGUUUUCCUAGGUCUUCCUCUACCCCUUCGGCCCUGAACCUCUGUCCCAUAGUCGCAUCUUCUAAUCGGAGCGUCAGUAGGCCUUCUUUGCACAUGUCCAAACCACCGUAACCGAUUUUCUCUCAUCUUUCCUUCAAUUUCGGCUACUCCUACUUUACCCCGGAUAUCCUCAUUCCUAAUCUUAUCCUUUCUCGUGUGCCCACACAUCCAACGAAGCAUCCUCAUCUCCGCUACACCCAUUUUGUGUACGUGUUGAUGCUUCACCGCCCAACAUUCUGUGCCAUACAGCAUCGCCGGCCUUAUUGCCGUCCUAUAAAAUUUUCCCUUGAGCUUCAGUGGCAUACGGCGGUCACACAACACGCCGGAUGCACUCUUCCACUUCAUCCAUCCAGCUUGUAUUCUAUGGUUGAGAUCUCCAUCUAAUUCUCCGUUCUUUUGCAAGAUAGAUCCUAGGUAACGAAAACGGUCGCUCUUUGGUAUUUCUUGAUCUCCGAUCCUCACCCCUAACUCGUUUUGGCCUCCAUUUGCACUGAACUUGCACUCCAUAUAUUCUGUCUUUGAUCGGCUUAGGCGAAGACCUUUAGAUUCCAACACUUCUCUCCAAAGGUUAAGCUUUGCAUUUACCCCUUCCUGAGUUUCAUCUAUCAACACUAUAUCGUCUGCGAAAAGCAUACACCAAGGAAUAUCAUCUUGAAUAUGUCCUGUUAACUCAUCCAUUACCAACGCAAAAAGGUAAGGACUUAAGGAUGAGCCUUGAUGUAAUCCUACAGUUAUGGGAAAGCUUUCGGUUUGUCCUUCAUGAGUUCUUACGGCAGUCUUUGCUCCUUCAUACAUAUCCUGUUAUAGCUUGGAUAUAUGCUACUCGUACUCCUUUCUUCUCUAAAAUCCUCCAAAGAAUGUCUCUUGGGACCCUAUCAUACGCUUUUUCCAAAUCUAUAAAGACCAUGUGUAAAUCCUUUUUUCCCAUCUCUAUAUCUUUCCAUCAAUCUUCGUAAGAGAUAGAUUGCCUCCAUGGUUGAGCGCCCUGGCAUGAACCCGAAUUGGUUGUCCGAAACCCGUGUCUCUUGCCUCAAUCUAUGCUCAAUGACUCUCUCCCAGAGCUUCAUUGUAUGACUCAUUAGCUUAAUACCCCUAUAGUUCAUGCAAUUUUGUACAUCGCCCUUAUUCUUGUAGAUAGGCACCAAAGUGCUCGUUUCGCCACUCAUUUGGCAUCUUCUUCGUUUUCAAAAUCCUAUUGAAAAGGUCAGUGAGCCAUGUUAUACCUGUCUCUCCCAAAACUUUCCACACUUCGAUUGGUAUAUCGUCUGGGCCUACUGCUUUUCUAUGCUUCAUCUUCUUCAAAGCUACAACCACUUCUUCCUUCCGGAUUCUACGAUAAAAAGAGUAGUUUCUACACUCUUCUGAGUUACUCAACUCCCCUAAAGAAGCACUCCUUUCAUGUCCUUCAUUGAAAAGAUUAUGAAAAUAACCUUCCAUCUGUCUUUAACCGCGUUCUCUGUAGCAAGAACCUUUCCAUCCUCAUCCUUGAUGCACCUCACUUGGUUUAGGUCCCUUGUCUUCUUUUCCCUUGCUCUAGCUAGUUUAUAGAUAUCCAACUCUCCUUCUUUGGUAUCUAGUCGCUUAUACAUAUCGUCAUAAGCCGCUAACUUAGCUUCUCUCACAGCUUUCUUCGCCUCUUGCUUCGCUUUUCUAUACCUUUCACCAUUUUCAUCGGUCCUAUCCUUGUAUAAGGCUUUACAACAUUCCUUCUUAGCCUUCACCUUUGUUUGUACCUCCUCAUUCCACCACCAAGAUUCCUUUUGGUGUGGGGCAAAGCCCUUGGACUCUCCUAAUACCUCUUUUGCUACUUUUCGGAUACAACUAGCCAUGGAAUCCCACAUUUGGUUAGCUUCCCCCUCUCUAUCCCACACACACACUGGGUGAUUACUUUCUCUUUGAAAAUGGCUUGUUUUUCUUCUUUUAGAUUCCACCAUCUAGUCCUUGGGCACUUCCAAGUCUUGUUCUUUUUUCUCACUCUUUUGAUAUGUACAUCCAUCACCAACAAGCGAUGUUGAUUAGCCACGCUCUCUCCUGGUAUAACUUUGCAAUCCUUACAAGUUAUACGAUCCCCUUUCCUCAUUAGAAGAAAAUCUAUUUGUGUUUUUGACGACCCACUCUUGUAGGUGAUCACAUGUUCUUCUCUCUUCUUAAAGAAGGUGUUGGCUAAGAAGAGAUCAUAUGCCAUUGCAAAAUCCAAGAUAGCUUCCCCAUCCUCGUUUCUCUCCCCAAAACCAUGGCCACCAUGAAAACCUCCAUAGUUGCCUGUCUCCCUGCCCACGUGUCCAUUUAAAUCUCCUCCUAUAAAUAACUUCUCCGUCUGAGCAAUUCCUUGCACCAAGUCUCCAAGGUCUUCCCAAAAUUUCUCCUUCGAACUCGUAUCCAACCCUACUUAAGGUGCGUACGCACUAAUCACAUUGAUAAGUUCUUGUCCUAUUACAAUCUUGAUUGCCAUGAUUCUAUCUCCUACCCUCUUGACAUCUACAACAUCUUGUGUCAAGGUCUUGUCCACGAUGAUGCCAACACCGUUUCUCGUUCUAUUUGUGCCCGAAUACCAUAGUUUAAACCCUGUGUGAAUUAAACCCAAUCUGAACAGGACUUGUGAAUUUUAUAUUGUUGGGUUUUACAGCUCAAAAUUAGGAUGAUGCAAAAAAUUAGGUUUGUGUUACCUAUUUGAGUUUGGAUUUUGACUUCUUAGUUGGUUUCCUUGGUGGAGAGAUUUUGUUAAUUACCUAUUUUAUUAGGAUUUGUAUUUACUUCCUAUUAGGAUUCUUAUUGUAACUUAAGUCCUAUGCACUAUAAAUAGGACACCAAGACUACCACCACUUUCAUAACUAGAGGGACCACCAUUCAUGGUUAUAUGAUCUCAUUUCUAAUUUUAUAGUUUAGUGUACUGCUAUCCAUUUACUCACUUCUUUCUUUUUAAUCUUUUGCAUAAUGUAUCCAUAAAACUUUGAGGUAGUCUGGAAAACCUUUAUCCCUACCAUUUCCUAGUUUUGUUUUUCAUAGUGUAAGCAUUCCAUUCUACUUUAGGUGUUUCCACUCAAAGUGUUUGGAAUUUUCUUAGCAAGAAAUUGUAAGGUUAGAAAAAGGAUGGAGAACGUGAAGUUGGUAUUGCAUUAAACUGGGCCUAUUCUGUUCAACAAAAUUAACAUGUUGGUCUCACUCUCUCUGUUUAUCUCAUGCUGCAAAUGUUCUUUUGCAGUGAUAAAGUAGCUUGCUAUAUUUCAAUAUAAUUUAAUAUAUUUAUUCAACUCUCCUGAUUUGUACACUUAGUUGCUCAUUGUAAUAUUAUUACAGGAUGAAACUAAGCUCUAUAUCUUCCUUGAGCUUGUAACAAAAGGCUCACUUGCAAAGUUAUAUCAAAACUAUAACUUAAAGGAUUCUCAAGUCUCUGGGUAUACAAGGCAGAUUCUAAGCGGGUUGACAUAUCUUCAUGAACGUGGCGUGGUUCACAGGUAAUGUCCUUUUGGUACUGGAAUUUUUGUAUUGUGAUUUUUCUGUCUUUUGUGGUUACACUGGAAGAGAUUGAACCAUUGACCUAUACUAAUCUUAGGGGACAAAACUGUGAACAACUAGUAGAACAAACUAUAAGGGAGGGUUUGAAAAAUGGGUGAGGGUCUUCCAAAUUCCAAGGCAUUUAGGCAAAAUAAAGAGGAAAUGGAUCACAAAAUGUUUGGUAGGAGGAAUUAGAAAUGCAUUACAAAAGACAUAAUAGAGGAAUUGCAAAUGACUAUUUGAAAUAUUUUAUAUAGGUAUCAUACACACGAAAAUUUACAAGGAAUAGAGGGACCGGAACAACAUACUUGUCUGUAAUUAAAGUACAACGUAUAGGCCCCAACAAAGAUAAGAUACAACUACGUAAAAAAUAACGAACCAAACAAUCCUUGUUUAACCUACAUUUUUAUAAUUCCCCUGGACAUAUUUUUUCUGCUUUCUAGACUUACGUGUUGCUUAUAUUGAUAUUGAACUUGUAGAAGUUUAAAAUUUGUUUUUAUUAUCUAUAUUUAUGAGAUUAUUUUUUCCAGGGAUAUCAAAUGUGCUAAUAUAUUGGUGCAUGCAAGUGGAUCUGUGAAACUUGCAGACUUUGGGUUAGCCAAGGUACAAUUCCUAAAUGUAUAUUCAUAGAAUUUCCAAUGCUGAAUCAUUCCUUAUUGGCAUUCUGUCUUUCUAGGUGACCAAAUUGAAUGAAUUGAAGUCUUCCAAAGGGACUGCUUAUUGGAUGGCCCCUGAGGUUUGCCUCCUCUCUUUACAGUAAAUGUGUGUUUGUACACAUCGGAUUGAUAUCUCAACAGCUGCCUUUACAUAGUAAUACUAGUAUGAUGUGGAGUAAUUCAUCUAGUUGUGAUUAUCCACGUAGUUAACUCUUUGAUGUACACAACUUAAUUUUCAUCAUUUACCUUGCAAUAGUAUAAUUGGGAAUAAGUUGCUCCGAGCAUGUUGUUCCAGUACGCUGUAAAAUUGUAGGUUGUUAAUCAAAUGAAUGGUGGCUAUGGGCUUGCAGCUGACAUAUGGAGCCUUGGAUGCACUGUGUUAGAGAUGUUAACCCGCCAGCCUCCGUACUUUCCCCUGGAAUGGGUAUGUUCAACAUUUCUGCACAUAUAAUGCUAAUCUUUUACUUUUUCUUUAGGAUAAGAAAUGCAUAAAAAUAUGCCCACAUCACAUUUUGACCUAGAUCAUUGGACGUAGGAGCCAACCUCAUCCCACACAUCCCCCACCGUGUGAUUGUACCUGGAUCAUCUUACUUGUACUCAGCCUUGUGCUACCUAUUCACAAUAUGUUAUUUACUCUUCCAUGCAAGUAACUAGAAUCCUUAAUCAAGAGUCAUGGACCUAUGUUUACCCCUUAACCUGUAUCCGGCUAUUUCUUCUCAGACAUCAGUGACCACUAGCACUAGGGUAACCUUAGUUUUCUUAAUCAAUUUGGACCGUCACUCAUGCGAGAAGGCUAAGACAUUUUAUAGACGCGGCAGAUCACUAAGUUGUCGCCUCUAGAGUCAUUUAGGAAUCUGACAAGAAUCUUAUUCUUGUUUGUGAUGAUUGGCAGAUAGCAGCAUUAUUUCAGAUUAGCAUGGAUAAACUUCCUCCAGUUCCUAAUUCGUUAUCAAGAGAUGCAAAAGAUUUCAUUUUGAAGUGUUUACAAGUUGACCCUAAUAGCCGACCCACAGCGGCUCAGCUAUUGAACCAUCCAUUUGUUGAAAGGCCACUCCACGCUUCCUCUGUCCCAGCUUCUCAUUGCAACAGUUUACGUUCGUGAAUGCUUUGGUCAACCAACCUUCAGUGAUAUUGUUAGGUAAUAUAGAGGAACUGGUUAGUGAUUGGAUCUAUAUACGCUCUCAAGCCAUGGUAGAACAUUAGCUUCCACGAACGUGGUUUGGGGAAGGGGAUAUGCUUCCAAUAUUUUCACAAAGAUGAGAAUGGUUUGCUAAUCAAACGAAGCACCUCUUGGUCCUUGUGUGUGGAUCUGCACUACUAGGGACGUGACGGACCAGAGAAACUUAAAAGCACGUUUUGUAGAUUAUGGACUUUGCUGUAAAAUACGUUUUGUAAACCUCCUGAUGGAUAUAACUCAAUCGAAUAUGAGACUCGGUGGAUCUGUUUGAUAACUAUUUUGUUUUAGUUUUCUUGUUAAAAAUAGAGGGGCAAGAUCUAAACAAGACCUGAAACUUGAACCUCAUUCUCAUGUUAGAUUAAAAAUAGAAUAAAAGCCCAAAGUUCAUCUUAUUGAUGAUUUUCUAAGGGGUAUAUAAUCUGAUUAGUAUAACUCAUGAGAACAGUAACAAACAAAGAUAUCCAAUUCGAUGAAAUAUAUGGCAUAAACUUUGUACAUACUGUAAAUACGGCUCUCAUACAAUACUCGUUUGGAAACACGUCACUCUAAGAAACUUAGAAUACCAUCUGAUUAGUAGAACUAAUCAAAAUUGUAACAAAGCUCAAAUGAUAAAAUGAAGAUGGCAGUUAAUUAUCUAUCAGAUGAAAUCACGGUACUUUCAGCAUGAGAGUAUAAAACCGGUAAGCAGCUGUUUCUGAGACAUUUAGACUGCACAUAUUCUUUGUACUUGGAGACUGAAUCCAUUAGCGAACUUCUGAGUUUCUUCUUCUGUUUGUUUGAUUGCAUCCUGCAAUUUCGGUUUGGAGGUCUGCAAGAAAAAUGAGAUUGGUUAUGAUAUCAAACUUAACAAAAUCCUAGUUAAGGAUUUUCAUAUGGCAUAACAAAUUAAUCACUAUAACACGUUUAAGAAUAAAAAAAACAACUUGAAGUUAAUUAUUCAAGAAAUAAGUCAAACAAAAACCUUCAGAAUCUUGUCUGCUUCUCCUUCCACAGUAUCCAAGUUACGAGUCUGCCUUUGAACAUCUGGAAUUGUAGUCCUGUGUCUCUUUCUUCAACAAGUUCAGUUGAGCUUCAACUAACGGGUGAAUUAUACACAAGUAAAAGAUAAGGUCAAAACAAAAUCCUUGUAAAAUUGUAUUUCUUUCUCAAAGUCCAAACCAUACCGGAGCAAUAACCAUAAGAUGCUUCAAAAGUAAGGGUGGUUUCCAAAAGUCCCACCAUAGGAUCAAUAACCUUUACAGUCGAUAUUUUACUUUGUAUGACAUACACCAGAGCCCUCCAAAACUAAUGUGCUCCCUCAGGCUGCAUUUAUUUUGCCUGCCACCGUUGAAACUUCUGAAACCAGAUUGGUUUCCUCAAGCGGUUCAUGUUUUUUGGGGUCUUUCUCCAAACAUGAAGCAUAAUAGGUUUGCCGUCAUCCAAAAGCAACCUUUAUGUAGUUUGUGUUCGAAAAGCAACCUAUGCACUAUAAAUAGGACACCAAGACUACCACCACUUUCAUAACUAGAGGGACCACCAUUCACGGUUAUAUGAUUCUCAUUUCUAAAUUCCUAGUUUAGUGUACUGCUAUCCAUUUACGCACUUCUUUCUUUCUUUCCUGGUUUGCAUUUCUAUUUGGUUCCGGCCAGUUUAUUAGAAGUACAACUUUCUACAUAUUGAGGGAGAUUUAUCUUUUCCUUUUGCAUUUGUUCUUGUUUUUUGUAGUUUGUGCAUAGGUAUUUGUCCUUGUAUGUGUGUACAACUGUACAUGUAUUUGUACAACCAUAAAACAAUAAAUUAAAGAGAUGACCAAUGCAACUACUCAAGCUGCAAUCAUAAGAUAAAAGUAGCUUGCUAUAUUUCAAUAUAAUUUAAUAUAUUUAUUCAACUCUCCUGAUUUGUACACUUAGUUGCUCAUUGUAAUAUUAUUACAGGAUGAAACUAAGAUCUAUAUCUUCCUUGAGCUUGUAACAAAAGGCACACUUGCAAAGCUAUAUCAAAACUAUAACUUAAACGAUUCUCAAGUCUCUGGGUAUACAAGGCAGAUUCUAAGGGGGUUGACAUAUCUUCAUGAACGUGGCGUGGUUCACAGGUAAUGUACUUCAUGAAAGGAAAAUGGCAUUUAUCAUAAUUUCCUUACUAUAGCAUUAUCACUAGCAGGAGCCGUCAUCCAACGAUCAUCGCAUUACAUGGUGAACAAUCAUCAAAUUUUCAUCACGUAAUCCAUGCAACUGAAUUCUAAACAUAUAACUAAAGCGUAAAACUUGAAGUUCAUGCAUGAAAGAAAUUAAGAGCUUCAGCUAACUAACCAAACAAUAAAUGGAUAAACUGUAGUAAAGAUCAAAACCAGCAAUUUAAGCAAAAGAAAAUCUCAAGGAUUGAAAUAGGUGGUGCUCACAGGUCAUUUGGCUUCGGCAGCCUCCAAUUCUUCCCUGACCUUAUCAAACAUGGAAAGCAUCAAAGAACGCAUGUUGGCAAUCUCUACAAGUGCGUCAAGUGCAGAUUCAAAUGAGAGUUGUGCUGCCCGUAGCUUCGGCGAAACCAAACCACCAAACAUCAACAGUGAUUUAGUCCGCUCCUUCUGAAGUUGAUGUUGGUGAGCAGUUUCAGCUUUAAGUGGGGGUGGAGGUCCAUCCUUAUCCUUUCGUUGUCGUAUCUGUGGACUCAUAUUCAUAAGUGGAGCUCCAUUGUCAUUGUCGGAGGAUGCCCAUUUGCGCAAUGUAAAAUGAUGAAUUUGCUCUGUUUCAGUAUCAGAUUGCUGGGUUACUUGCAGAAAUGUACUUGCAUUGUGCGAUUUCAGGUCCAACAAAGCACUGCUCACGCAUGACUCACCCAUAGAAUGUCGAGCACUUGCUAAUUGCAACCACCCCUGUUAGUGUUAUCCCUAUUCCAUGUUAGUAUAACAAUUUAAAUUAAAAGUAUACAAAUAAAAAUAGUAUGAUUUAAGCUAAUUUUACCUGCCGAAGUGUCCAGGACAGUGAAUCCAAUAGGGUUAAAUACCCGUCUAUUGAAUCCAGGAAUUGCAAUGAAUUUUCAUUCAAUUCAGAGAAUGCAAUUUUAUCUCGUCCUUCCAAGCUCAGUGAUUUAGGGUCUUCUUCCAAGCUGAGUGAUUUAGGGUUUUCUUCCAAGCUGAGUAAUUUAGGGUUUUCUUCCAAGCUGAGUGAUUUAGGGUCUUCUUUCAAGCUCUGGGAUUUAGAGUCUCCUUCCACAUUCUGCGAUUUAUAGUCUUCUUUCAAGCUCUGUGAUUUAGGGCCUCCUUUUUCCAAGCUCUGUAAUUUAGGUUCUUUCAAGCUGUGCGGUGUGGGGUCUUCUUCUAAGCUCUGUGACAUAGAGCCUUCUUUCAAGCUCGGGGCGUUAUUGGCUUGUUCUUCCAAGCUUUGUGAUUUAGGGUCGUCUUCUUCCAAGUUCUGCAAUUUAGGUUCUUCUUCCAUCGAGAACUUUGGAUUCAAUACGAAAACCCCUCACUUUUUUCAGUCAUAAGCCAUCACUGUCACUGAGCUUUCUGAACAAUUGGGUCAUUUAGUCAGUGACAUUACUAAAAUUCAACUCACCACAACUAAAUUCAUUUAUGUUUUAUAUUUUUGGGCCAAAGAUACUAUCCUAAAAAACAAAACAAACUGAUAAGGCAUACAACUAGUUUAGAUAAACAAAUCUAACACCAAUGACUAAAGAAAGUGAAAAUAAAACAAACAUGAUAUAGGAGCUCAAUUCUUUCAGAUAAAGAUUGGAGUGAGCUAAGUGCAGCAUUUGCACCAAAUCAUCAAUGGUAUCAAUAUUCUUCUUCUUCUUUCAACUACAGUCAGUAAGCACCAGCGCAAAUUCUUAGAAUAAAGAUAACAAACAUGAGAAGCAAGAAAACAACACAUAUUUAUUUAGGCCAGCCAUUGGAAGGAGAAUUUUAGGGUCUGUUUGGUACUCUACUUGAAUCCAACUUUUUAAACUCAAAAACAAUUUUCAAGUUUUAAGCCUUAAAAACUUGUUUGGUAUGACUAUUUUCAAAAAUUGAAUUCAAAACUAACUCAAAAAUAUAGUCUAUUCUCUAAAAACAUAAAAGGUGAGUUUUUAGAGUCUUUAAACUUAAACUCACUAUUUUCUUUUCUCUCCCUCCUCCCCUCUCAACUCCAAAUCUAUGUCUCUCCUCUUUUUUACCUUUUCCUUCUCCCCUCCAAUUUACUCUCUUCAUUUUCUCGAUUCUUUCUCUUACUCAUCUUCCUCUCUAUCUCGUCCGACCCUCUCUUCUUUCUCUUUCCUUCCAUCAUCUCUUACUUUCUUUCCUUUUAUCUCCUCCUUCUCCCUCUCAUGCAACCCCCUCUUUUUAGAUCUCUUAUCUAAUUUAAGUCGUAAGAUUUAAAAAUUUUAAAUCGCAAACCAAUCAAGUUUUUGAAUCUUAAAGAAAAUUGUUUUCAAGAAAUGUUCUUAAGAAAUGUUUUGAGAAAUGACAAAAAAAUUCAAAUAGGAUACCAAACAGGCCUUAAAGAUUUUCAAUAAGUUUGAGCUCUUAUAGGCUCCAAUCUAGGUAAAGGAAAGCAGUACAGUUGUGGUUUUUUUUAUAUAUAUUUUUAGCGCUAAUCUGCCGCAAUUUAUCUACCUCCAACAUAAAUUAUAUACUUUGUAAACUAUUUCAUAUUUGUUUCCCUUCUUUCACUCACCUUGACCCACCAUCAUACUCUAUGAGUUUGACCCACCAUCGUACUCUAUGAGUUUGACCGCAGUGCUCAAGUAACACCUAUACGACUCACAACUCUUCUACGUGAACUAACUUGAAAAAUGUUACCAUGAGAAUCGGAAGAGAACAUCUGCACUAGUAGUUAACACAUACAACCUUUGCAUACCUCAGUUUACUUGUAAUUUUGAACUGACAUCGAAGGAUAACGUUGAAUCAAUAGGAUCACUGCCUCCUCAGCAAUCUGUUGAUAAAUGAAAACAAAAAUGAAUAGGAUUAUACAUUGAAGGACCUAUAAAAGCAUCUCUCUCUUAAAUUCCCUCUCUAUCUCCACCAGUUCUUGAUUUUAAAAAUGUUUCAAGACACCGUAGGCUGCAACUUUAACCCAAACUCCAUCCCAGUAAAUCUAACCAAAUUAAAUUCGUUAGGGUAACUGCAGAAUGAGGUUUUCAUCGGCCAGGAGAAAAAAUAAAAAACUAAAACGAACUGAAACGAGGCAAUUUGUGAGUUUCUAGGGUUCUAAAUGAUGCGAAACUUAAAACGAAACUUAGAGAUAGAGAAUUCAGAUAUAUGACUAACGUAUUAACAACCAGAAAUCGCAGCCUCAAAAUUAUGAAAUCGUAGCCUCCAAUAUUCAAAAUCGCAGUCUCAAACCUCUGAACUCGAAGCUCCAAUAUUCGAAAUCGCAGCCGCAAAUCUCUGAAAUCAUAGAAAUACAAAUUAUUCAUGAAAUCAAUCCAAUCAGUUCUUCGAAAACGAAAUAAAAAACAAAUUCAGAAAAAUGAAAAAGAAAAAAAGCGAAUCGAAACAAUUCAAUCCAAUCAUAAGAAAUGAUUCAAAAUUACCUCGGAUCUCAACAGACCAAAACCCUAACAGAGUCCUCUGCAGAUCGAAUAAGGAUUGGACUAGUGGGAAACGAGUCGAAAUUGUAUUGAAAGUAAAAUAUCUCUGAAAUCGUAGCUUCUAACCUCUAGCUCAUAUCAAAAUCGACGGAAAAGCCAUGGAGAGAGCUUGACAAGUUGGACAAAGAGAGCUCGACGAGUUCGAGAGCCGGAGAAUUUGUUUUUUUCUUGGUUAAUAUAUAUACAGUAGAUGAAACAAAAUGUGAGCGUAAAUAUACAAGUUUUUUUUUUUGGAAAAUAUAGGGAAGGUAGAGAAGUUAUAGAGAAAUGUGAUAGAGAGAAAUGGAAACAAGUUUAAAAAUUCACCUCUCCCAGACCUUGCGUAAAGUUUAUGUGUCAGUUUAUAUUGCGUAAGACAAACUAAUAACAUGCUGGCAGAAGUUUGGCACAGUAACCUCCAAAAAUGAAAAAUUCAGAAUGCAUGAACUUGUAGAGUCAAAUACCAAACAUGUGUAAUAGAAUUCAUGUCACUCACAAAACUACAAAGCUAUACAAGUAAAUCAAAACACGUGCUCCCAAAAAGAAACUAUUAGCAAUUCAAA